CCCUCAGCAAAAAUACGAAGGCCCAAGGCCCAGUCCUUCAUCGAAGUCCCGCAGCAAACCCUAGAUGCAACCCAAGUCCCUCCGCAACGACGCCGUUCUAAACCCUCCCUUCUCCCACUUCUCCACCCCUCUCCCUCGGCAAGAAAAGCCGCCGCCGCCGCAUCCGCAGCAGCCGCAUCCGCAGUAGCCGAGCGAGAUGGUGUUUGUGAAGAACCAGAAGACCAGGGCCUACUCCAAGCGGUUCCAAGUGAAGUUCAAGAGAAGGAGACAGGGGAAGACCGAUUACAGGGCCAGGCUCAGGCUCACUAACCAUAAGGC
Triticum urartu is the source of this 318-nucleotide non-coding RNA. NCBI's taxonomy places the organism in Eukaryota, Viridiplantae, Streptophyta, Magnoliopsida, Poales, Poaceae. The record is from RefSeq and is a predicted model, not a curated record.